This 170-nucleotide ribosomal RNA is filed under the name uncultured rumen bacterium. RNAcentral describes it as "partial 16S ribosomal RNA". It matches the Rfam family "Bacterial small subunit ribosomal RNA", at positions 340 to 524 of the family's 1533-position model. The record is from RNAcentral.
UACGGGAGGCAGCAGUGGGGAAUAUUGGGCAAUGGGCGAAAGCCUGACCCAGCAACGCCGCGUGAAGGAAGAGGGUCUUCGGAUUGUAAACAUCUGUCCUAUGGGACGAAGGAAGUGACGGUACCAUAGGAGGAAGCCCCGGCUAACUACGUGCCAGCAGCCGCGGUAAU